Molecule: small nuclear RNA, 191 nt
Organism: Molossus molossus (Pallas's mastiff bat)
Lineage: Eukaryota; Metazoa; Chordata; Mammalia; Chiroptera; Molossidae
Product: U2 spliceosomal RNA
Exons: 1
Source: RefSeq, a predicted model, not a curated record
AUUGCUUCUCGGCCUUUUGGCUAAGAUCAUGUGUAGAAUCCAUUCUUAUCAGUUUAAUGUCUGACACGUCCUCUAUCUGAGGACAAUAUAGUAAAUGGAUUUUUGGAGCAGGGAGAUGGAAGAGGAGCUUGCUCCGUCCACUUCACGCAUAGACCUGGUACUGCAGUGCCUUGGGGAACAGUGCACCAGAA